RNAcentral lists this ribosomal RNA (259 nucleotides) under uncultured bacterium. RNAcentral describes it as "partial 16S ribosomal RNA". It matches the Rfam family "Bacterial small subunit ribosomal RNA", at positions 95 to 354 of the family's 1533-position model. The record is from RNAcentral.
UUGGCGGACGGGUGAGUAACGCGUGGAUAACCUGCCGUAUGCAGGGGGAUAACAGUUGGAAACAGCUGCUAAUACCGCAUAAGCGCACAGUACCGCAUGGUACGGUGUGAAAAGAUUUAUCGGCAUACGAUGGAUCCGCGUCCGAUUAGCCAGUUGGCGGGGUAACGGCCCACCAAAGCGACGAUCGGUAGCCGGCCUGAGAGGGCGGACGGCCACAUUGGGACUGAGACACGGUCCAAACUCCUACGGAAGGCAGCAG